Molecule: non-coding RNA, 24 nt
Filed under: Rattus norvegicus (Norway rat)
Lineage: Eukaryota; Metazoa; Chordata; Mammalia; Rodentia; Muridae
Source: RNAcentral
UGCUUCUGAAGAUAGAGCCACGGU